GCAGGGCAGUUAUUGUACUAAAUAAAUGGGGACUCUGGGGAGAAGGGAGGAUGGGGACAGAAUUAAUUUUGGGGAAGUGAUUUCUCAUUAAUAGGAACACAAAAGGAGAAAAUGAGGGGAAAUGAAGGAACAAAGGAUAAUAGGCCUGCUGCUUCUCCCCAAAUUUGUGUGAAUAUGUGUGGGAACUGCCGGCAUCCGGGUCUCCCAAAAGAAGGCAACUGCAGCAGAUAAUUUUGCACAAAUUCCUGAAGAUCAAAGUAAAGUCAAGAGAUAAAUGACAUCUGAGAUGACAAGGCAUCUUAGCCACUUGAGAGUCCCAGAGGCAGCCCUAGAGCCAACAACAUGAUUGCCUGUGGAACUGCUAAAGGAUCCAGAUGGCAGCACUGAAAGAAAAACUGCGUGAUGACAAACAUUCAGACAAAGAGUCACCUGUGGCCUAUGUUUUUGUCUGAGUGCUCCUGACAUCAGUGCCAGAGGAAGAAAGAUGAGAAUUAAAAGGAAGAACAUUUUGGAGCUGAGCCCCUCAAUCCCACUCAGAAGAGGACAAGACUGAAGGGACAAUUAGCUGGUGGGCCACAGCAUGCCUCAGUGGACACUGGAGAUAGAGACUCUUACCCUCCCCAUGGCACUACAAACUCUGGGGUGAAAAGCAAUAACUGUUAUACAACCGUGUAGGAUUCAGAGAUUUCAAGUCAGAAGGGAGCACCGUGAUCACCAAGUCCGGUCUCCUGUAUAACACAGACCAUAGAACUUCUCGAAAAUAAUUCCUAGAGGAUGUCUUUUUUUAACAAAUCCAGUCUUGAUUUAAAAAUUGUCAGU
This is a long non-coding RNA of Chelonia mydas (Green sea turtle), 819 nucleotides long. RefSeq lists it as uncharacterized. NCBI's taxonomy places the organism in Eukaryota, Metazoa, Chordata, Testudines, Cheloniidae. The record is from RefSeq and is a predicted model, not a curated record. The transcript has 3 exons.